RNAcentral lists this ribosomal RNA (405 nucleotides) under uncultured bacterium. RNAcentral describes it as "partial 16S ribosomal RNA". It matches the Rfam family "Bacterial small subunit ribosomal RNA", at positions 28 to 526 of the family's 1533-position model. The record is from RNAcentral.
GACGAACGCUGGCGGCGUGCUUAACACAUGCAAGUCGAGCGGAGCGGCGAACGGGUGAGUAACGCGUGAGUAACUGCCCCCCUCUCUGGGAUAACAGUUGGAAACGGCUGCUAAUACCGGAUAGUUGGGGAUGACUCUGGUCCUAUCGGAUUGUGGGUUGGGUAGUGGCCGACCACGGCGACGACGGGUAGCCGGCCUGAGAGGGCGACCGGCCAAAUUGGGCUGAGAUAAGGCCCAAACUCGUACGGGAGGCAGCAGUGGGGAAUAUUGCACAAUGAGCGGAAGCCUGAUGCAGCGACGCCGCGUGGGGGAUGACGGCCUUCGGGUUGUAAACUCCUUUCACCAUCGACGCGGUAGAUGGAGAAGAAGCACCGGCUAACUACGUGCCAGCAGCCGCGGUAAUAC